Molecule: long non-coding RNA, 275 nt
Organism: Brienomyrus brachyistius
Lineage: Eukaryota; Metazoa; Chordata; Actinopteri; Osteoglossiformes; Mormyridae
Exons: 3
Source: RefSeq, a predicted model, not a curated record
UCCAGGGGCUGCGUAUCAAGGCUCAAAAGGCCAGCGGGGCCCAUAUGGACAGCCAGGUCUUCCAGGGCCGCUUGGGUUCUCUGGUGCAAAAGGAACAGACUGUCUGAUCGGCAUCCCUGGGCUGCCCGGAGAUCUGGGAUUACCUGGAGCAAAUGGGUGGCCAGGACCACCGGGUGAAAUUGGACUUCCAGGUUCAACCUACUCAUUCCCAGGUGACCCAGGGUACCCUGGGCAAUCAGGGUCUCCCGGGCUGAAAGGAAAUGCAGGCCCCCCCG